Molecule: long non-coding RNA, 242 nt
Organism: Poeciliopsis prolifica (blackstripe livebearer)
Lineage: Eukaryota; Metazoa; Chordata; Actinopteri; Cyprinodontiformes; Poeciliidae
Exons: 3
Source: RefSeq, a predicted model, not a curated record
CACACCAGUACUUAUCUUCAUCCUUUUCCAUGAGUGAAGUCAUAGUUACGGUGUUGCCGUUACUUCUUCUGGCGCCAACAGGUCAACUGAGUCCACUUUAUUCUUCAUUAGCAACAAAAGACAGAGAACAGGAACUGCAAAAGACAAAAACAAGCUGACGUUCUCAUGGUGUAGCCGCAGGGAACAAUGUGAAGUACGACAGCAAAUUGGGCAACUGGAGGCUUCCUCUUGUCCCUCAUGAU